Pollicipes pollicipes is the source of this 372-nucleotide long non-coding RNA. RefSeq lists it as uncharacterized. The record is from RefSeq and is a predicted model, not a curated record. NCBI's taxonomy places the organism in Eukaryota, Metazoa, Arthropoda, Thecostraca, Pollicipedomorpha, Pollicipedidae. The transcript is spliced from 3 exons.
AUCUGCCAGCCGCGCCUCGCAGGCCAGCACGUCCGUCGGCCAUGGCACACAACGGCGGUGGCAGGUCGGUCUUGCUGGUCCUGGCCUUAGGUCUGCUGGCGUCAACCCACUGCUGGCCUCUGAAAACGUUUGAGCUCGAGCUCGAGCCUCCGACAGAAUGUCCAGAAGGCUGGCUCCGCUUCGGCCCUCACUGCCUUCUCCUGGCUGAGGACCGCUUGGGAUGGGAGGCUGCUCGGACUCACUGCGACAAGCUGCAGCCGGGCUCGCAUCUGGCAUCCAUCCCAGACCCAUUCCAGAUGGCAGGCAUGCUGACCAAGGUGCGGCGAGCCGGCGAGGAUUCUGUCUGGAUCGGGCUGUCGGCUCAGCCCUCCG